RNAcentral lists this transfer RNA (73 nucleotides) under Promethearchaeota archaeon. Its description in RNAcentral is "Candidatus Lokiarchaeota archaeon tRNA-Ala". It matches the Rfam family "tRNA". From Rfam's summary of the family: Transfer RNA (tRNA) molecules are approximately 80 nucleotides in length. Lineage: Archaea; Promethearchaeati; Promethearchaeota. The record is from RNAcentral.
GGGCGAUUAGCUCAGCUGGAAGAGCACUUGACUUGCACUCAAGGGGUCAGGGGUUCAAAUCCCCUAUCGUCCA